Molecule: ribosomal RNA, 253 nt
Filed under: uncultured bacterium
Lineage: Bacteria
Description: partial 16S ribosomal RNA
Rfam family: Bacterial small subunit ribosomal RNA
Source: RNAcentral
UACAGAGGGGGCAAGCGUUGUUCGGAAUUACUGGGCGUAAAGGGCGCGUAGGCGGCCUUCUAAGUCGAACGUGAAAUCCCUGGGCUCAACCCAGGAACUGCGUCCGAUACUGGAAGGCUUGAAUCCGGGAGAGGGAUGCGGAAUUCCAGGUGUAGCGGUGAGAUGCGUAGAUAUCGUAAGGAACACCAGUGGCGAAGGCGGGUCUCUGGACAGUUCCUGACGCUGAGGCACGAAGGCGAGGGGAGCAAACGGG